GUCCACACCGUAAACGGUGGGCGCUAGUUGUGGGAACCUUCCACGGUUUCUGCGACGCAGCUAACGCAUUAAGCGCCCCGCCUGGGGAGUACGAUCGCAAGAUUAAACUCAAAGGAAUUGACGGGCCCCGCACAAGCAGCGGAGCAUGCGGCUUAAUUCGACGCAACGCGAAGAACCUUACCAAGGCUUGACAUAUACAGGAAUAUGGCAGAGAUGUCAUAGCGGUUAAACGUCUGUAUACAGGUGGUGCAUGGUUGUCGU
This 261-nucleotide ribosomal RNA is filed under the name uncultured bacterium. Its description in RNAcentral is "partial 16S ribosomal RNA". It matches the Rfam family "Bacterial small subunit ribosomal RNA", at positions 793 to 1055 of the family's 1533-position model. The record is from RNAcentral.